UGUACUUACCUAACUAUUAGGUAAGACAUAUGUCUAUAUAAAAAAGUGGUUGUAAUAGUUUCAGCUCUCUUUCCAUAUAAAGUGAGCUUCGGUAUUAUUUGUAACAAAACUUACCAAGAAAUAACAUUCGAGCUUCUUUAUCCUAUGGCUUUCUAAAUUUCUCUUCCUCUCUUGAAAAUAACAAAUUCUAUCUUAUUCAUGUAAUUCUCUAUGAAGGCAUGAGUAUGCUCUAUAUUUGCCACUCUUAGUGGAUUCUGUGUGUUAGAAAGUGUUAGUUCAUUGAUCCAUUACCAUGGUUCUCCGGUGCUCAAGUGGAAGAAUCUAUUCUUCUCAUUUUAAGCCUUUAUAAUAUAUAUAGAAGAUCUGGUUCCCUUACUAGAAAUAUCCGCUCUCUUAUCUUUUCAAGAAGAUAUGUUACCAAAGAAUAUGUACAAAUUUCUUGCCUUGACUAUUUUGCUCUCAGAUCCACUACUGCUGAAUAAUAUGUCAUUCUGGAGAUUUCUUCUCUGUCCCUCAGUGAAAAAGACAAGGUUACUAGUAUCUUCAAUACCCACCUUCUCUGAUGACCAUCCAAAUACCACAAUCUGAGACAUAAGAAUCUUCUGAAUCAUCAAAGGAAGAAUAUUCUGAUUUUGACCUUGAAGCAAACCUAACAGACAUUACCAAUCUUCUCAUGGUUAUUUCCACUGGGUCUAAUACAAAUGAAAUCCUUGAAGAAACUAUGGAGGAAGAAAUACAUCCUGGCCAAACUUCACGGGCAGGAUCUUAUACUCGUCCAACUAGUGGACUCUGGUUCACACUUGAUAAUGUUCCUCUAUCAAAAUGAAGAGAAAGGAUGCUUGAAUUUGGAGCCUGAAUUGAUCUACAGAUGACCAAGCCUGAUGCCCAUUUAUUGACUAUUAUUUGAGAAUUUAUUGCUAGAAUGACUGGAUCACUUUAAGAUUGGUUCUUUUUCUUAGGACAUUACAGGCAGCUUCAAUUUUUCAAAGGUCAAAUACUCGAAUUUUCCUAAGAACUAUCCAUUCAAAGUUUCUUAGUAACAUAAACCUGGCAGAACAACAAAAGAGGCAAGACUAUUUUGAAAUGGAGUGUUGUUCCUGAAAAAGAAAAAAUCUUAAGUUCCACUAUUAGCACAUGUCCCAGCUCUUUUAUAGACUUGGUGGAUUGGAUGAUGUUAAUCUCAAAAGUACAUAUAUUACCUCUCUUCCUGAGCAGAUACAGUUUGAUUUGUAUGGAAUAAUUCAAGCAAUUGGCAGGGAUCUAACACGAAUCUCUAUUGGAUAAAUUCACCAGAUGACCCUAUCCACUCUUGAAAAACUACGUGAGCACAAAAAGUUGGUUUUAAAAAUAAGAGUCUUCCUGAACCACAUCUUUUAAGAUUAAAAAAUUAGUUUUUCAAAUAUGAGUUUACUAUCUAACAUAUAAAAAGAGACCUCAACUUGAUUCCUGAUUUCCUUAACAUACUACCUUGUAUCCAACUUCUUAGUUUUCUUUACUAAAUUCUUCUCAUCUUUAAGGCCAGCUCUUUCAAGCCCUCUGACUCUAAAACUCCUUCAUUUUUAAUUUCUGCACUAAAAAGUUUUCUACUAGAAUGCAAUGCAUCAAUGACACUCAGCCACAUCACUGAAUUUGCAAAGAACCAUCUCUUUCAUUUUCAAAACCUUACCAAUGUUCUCAAACAAAAGUAAGAAGCACACUCUAUGUUCUAUCUAGAUGCUCAAUUUCUUACUACCUUUUGUCUAGACCUCCAAGAAGAUUUGCUCUAUGAGAAAAGUUGAUUUUUACGGUGCAUGAUCACUCUGUAUGCCAUCGCCUUUGAAGUUCUUACUUUAAGGCUCUACGAUUUCCUCGGAAACAUAAAAAAUCAACAGAGCCUAAUAUAAUGCUUCCUUGAAUGGUUUGCCCCUACUUCAAUGUGGCGUAAAAACUUAAUAACAGCCAGUGAAAACCAUAAUUUUUGCCUCAAGCCUUCAUUAAAAGCCAAAGUAGCCUGCUCUCUGUUCAUUCUACAUAGGCCCUUUUUCAUAAAUUCGGAGGGACUAUUAUGGACUCAAAAUCAAUCUAUGAAUGGAAGACCUAAUCUAAAACUGACAAGACAAGAUAAAGCCUUGCAUUGCAAAAAGAAAUUAUUACUAAUUUCUGUGAAAUUAACAACUACAAGCCCAAGGCUCAGACAGUGAGUUCUACCUCAAUCGGUUCAAAGGCCUAACCAGAAAAAGUUUCAAAUCUUC
This 2231-nucleotide unclassified non-coding RNA is filed under the name Hevea brasiliensis (rubber tree). Lineage: Eukaryota; Viridiplantae; Streptophyta; Magnoliopsida; Malpighiales; Euphorbiaceae. The record is from RNAcentral.